GCUGAACUUCCGAAAACAGAAGCUUCUCAAGGAAGUUGUCCUCCGAAUACAAGAUUCACUAAUUUCACUACAUCACAGAAGAAAUGGAUGAGAAGGCUCUAUGGGAACAAGCCACAGAGCUCCACUGGUUCCAAUUAGGCUAUUAUCAUGAUAGUCUUCUAGGUAUACCCUUCGUGUAUUUUUUUUCUUUUUUUCAGCAUCUGAAUACUGG
This 211-nucleotide unclassified non-coding RNA is filed under the name Hevea brasiliensis (rubber tree). The record is from RNAcentral. Lineage: Eukaryota; Viridiplantae; Streptophyta; Magnoliopsida; Malpighiales; Euphorbiaceae.